CCUACGGGAGGCAGCAGUAGGGAAUUUUCGUCAAUGGGCGCAAGCCUGAACGAGCGAUGCCGCGUGAGUGAAGAAGGCCUUCGGGUCGUAAAGCUCUGUUGCGGGGGAAAAAAGGCAGCAUCAGGAAAUGGGUGCUGACUGAUGGUGCCCCGCCAGAAAGUCACGGCUAACUACGUGCCAGCAGCCGCGGUAAUACGUAGGUGGCGGGCGUUGUCCGGAAUGGUUGGGCGGAAAGGGUGCGCAGGCGGUCCUGCAAGUCUGGAGUGAAACGCAUGAGCUCAACUCAUGCAUGGCUUUGGAAACUGGAGGACUGGAGAGCAGGAGAGGGCGGUGGAACGCCAUGGGUAGCGGUAAAAUGCGUAGAUAUAUGGAAGAACACCAGUGGCGAAGGCGGCCGCCUGGCCUGUUGCUGACGCUGAGGCACGAAAGCGUGGGGAGCAAAUAGGAUUAGAUACCCGUGUAGUC
This 465-nucleotide ribosomal RNA is filed under the name uncultured bacterium. RNAcentral's name for it is "partial 16S ribosomal RNA". It matches the Rfam family "Bacterial small subunit ribosomal RNA", at positions 338 to 795 of the family's 1533-position model. The record is from RNAcentral.